CCCGCGACUCGGCGAGAAGUCCAUUGAACCUUAUCAUUUAGAGGAAGGAGAAGUCGUAACAAGGUUUCCGUAGGUGAACCUGCGGUGCAAAAUGGGCGUCGUGAAUAUAUCGAGCGAUUCGAAAAACCUGUUAAAUGUGCGUACGGUCGCCCCGGUCGUGUCCUUGAAGCUCCUUUGAGGUGAAGGGGCACAGCGGGGGACGAUGAACAACAAUCCGGCGCAGCAACGCGCCAAGGGAAGAUUGAAAUGUGUGAGCCCCGUGUCGGGCUCGACGAUGUGGAGUGCUGAUGCACGCCAUGCGGAUGGGACACGACUCUCGACAAUGGAUAUCUUGGCUCUUGCAUCGAUGAAGAGCGCAGCGAAAUGCGAUACGUGGUGCGAAUUGCAGAAUCCCGCGAACCAUCGAGUCUUUGAACGCAAGUUGCGCCCGAGGCCAUCCGGCCAAGGGCACGUCCGCCUGGGUGUCAAGUGUUGCGUCGCUCCGAGCUAGUCGUCCCGCCGGUCGAAUCGUUAGCUAUGUGUAGGGUGGCCCGUCGUGUACGUUGAUGCGGCGGGUUGAAGAACGGGUUUUGUCUCAUUGGCCGCGAACAACAAUGGGUGGGUGCAGGCUCUGAGCGCAGCCUGUGUUGUCUCGUGCUGGCUUGAGAGAUGGAAUGUGAUCCCCGACCAUGUGUCGCUUGACAUGCGACAGCUUGGAAUGCGACCCCAGGAUGGGCGAGGCCACCC
This 726-nucleotide ribosomal RNA is filed under the name Notylia incurva. RNAcentral describes it as "eukaryotic LSU rRNA". The stretch from base 312 to 467 matches the Rfam family "5.8S ribosomal RNA". The record is from RNAcentral. Lineage: Eukaryota; Viridiplantae; Streptophyta; Magnoliopsida; Asparagales; Orchidaceae.